This is a long non-coding RNA of Bactrocera neohumeralis, 1121 nucleotides long. RefSeq lists it as uncharacterized. NCBI's taxonomy places the organism in Eukaryota, Metazoa, Arthropoda, Insecta, Diptera, Tephritidae. The record is from RefSeq and is a predicted model, not a curated record. The transcript has 3 exons.
UACACUUUACUAAAAUAGUAAUAAUGGGUUGUCAAAAAAGUAUUGCGGUACUUUCGCUAGUUGGCGCUGAAAGCGCGUAGUUCUAGUUUUAUUCGUCGCAUCGGGUCAUGUUAUAUCUUUUUGGAAAGCUCAUUUCACGCGCUAACGUGUUUUUGAUUGAUUGUCGUUUCUUUCAAGUCGUUCGUGAGUUAUAGCGUCGCAUACAUGGAGCAAAAUAAAGGGAAAAUACGGCAUAUUUUACAGUACUACUACGAUAAAGGCAAAUAUGCAUCUCAAGCCGCCAAUAAAAAUGGUGCAGUUUAUGGACCCGAUACAGUUUCCAUUUCCACCGCACAACGAUGGUUUCAACGUUUUCGUUCUGGUGUAGUGGUGGUCGCAGAUGCCCCACGCUCCGAAAGGCCUGUCGUCGCAAAUUGAGAUAAAAUCGCUGAAUUGGUCGAAAGAGACCGGCAUAGUAGCAGCCGUAGCAUCGGUUAAGAGCUGGGCAUGAGUCCUCAAAAAUUCAUUUCAAUUUACUUAUUUACUUUUUUGUAAGCCCACAGUAAACGAGUACAUGCACUAGAAAAGGCUACCAUAGUAUCAACGCCAUGAUAGUAAGAUAUGUGAUCACACUUACAAAAUUAUGGCUAUUAACUGUCAAUACGGCGGUGCAGCCCACGACUCAUUUCUUUGGAAACAAUCGGGCCAGAGAAGAGUUUUGGAAGAACGAUUUCAGCACUACAGGAAUGAAAAUUCAUGGCUUUUAGGGGAUUCUGGCUACCCAUUGGAACCAUGGUGCAUAACUCCUUACAGAAACGCUUCGGAUGGUUCAAGUGAAGCUAUGUUCAAUGAAAUUAAUUCCAAGGCAAGAUGUAUCGUCGAACGAACUAUCGGAAUUUUAAAAGUACGCUGGAGAAUUUUAGGAUAUGGGAAGAGAGGAAGGUACCUUCCGACAAAAGUGGCAAAAUUUGCUAACGUUUGUGCAGCGUUACACAACAUCUGCAUAAAAUUUAAAAUAAAUUAUGAUCCUCAGAAUUGCUAUUCUGAUCAAACAACGGAUAUCGACACCAGGGUAGCGAACCGCCUCACCGCAAUCGGCCAAACAAUAAGAGAUCAAAUAAAGUACUCUUUAAUAAAUUGAA